UUUUUAUUUGAGUAAGGCAAUUCAUGGGUUCAUACUUCAGAUAUUCAGCACUGGAAUUCAUUGGCACCUGCCACGGACAAAAGAACACUUGGCUAAAAUGGAGAAACGUAAAAUUUCCUGUCAACCAGCCAGGUGAAAACAAAAAUGAUCAAAUGGCUUAUGAAAGACUUGGUCUCUCAACUAGCCAAUCUGCAUAAACCUAACCCAAAAAGUGCAAGUUAGAAUACUGCUCAAUAACUGAACCAACGGCAGCUCAAAACAAACCUGCCAUAUACUUUUGAGUCAAAGACUUGACAAUGGACGUCCAUUCUCAAGUAAGGAACUAUAAGCAAAGUUUCAUGAUGAGCUUAUUGUAUUUGCAAAAGAAAAGGAAUUGCAGUCCCAAAAAUCAGAUAUAAAGGACUCUUUAGCUCAUACAGAGUAGGAGUUUACAUCAAUCCCAGUUGUUCCUCCAUGAAUGUCGACGAGAGGAAUAAAUCAGCUGGAGAAAACAAGGUAAUAUCAUUGAUUUUACUUGAUGUAUCAAAAACUUAAAUUCACCAACAAAAAUAUGGGUCAAGUAUUCAUUCCCACUAGUAAAGAUGCAUGUCCCAUUAAUAAAGAAAAGCUUCAUGAUCUAAAAUUACACUCAUGUGAUUUACAGGCCCAAAACGUCAGAUACAGACUUGUUGAUGAUCUGAAAUAGCUCUUCCCUGUAAGCAAAAAAGAGCACAAAUCAAAUGUUAAAUUACAGCAAAAUAAGGAAGUCAUAUUAACUUAAGUAAUAAAGCUCAAUUUCACCCCAACACUUGUUGGACAUGUUUAAUUUAAUCCAUUUUCAACUUUUAUUCCAAUUUAGCUUAGAAGUUUUUGUUUAAGCUGGAAUUAGCCCAAUCUCCCUCAUUUGAGUUACACGUGCCAUUUACCAAAUAUUUAUUUUUUUAUUUUUUAAUAUUAAAAUUAUUUUUAUAGUUUAUAAGUAAAUAAAUAAAAAUAAAAAUAUUAUUAAUUAAAAUGAAAAUAUGAAAAAUAUUAUUUUUAUAUUUUCAUUUUACUAAUAUUAAAAAAGUAAAAUAUAAAAAUUAAUUAAUUAAUUUUAAGAGAGA
RNAcentral lists this unclassified non-coding RNA (1085 nucleotides) under Hevea brasiliensis (rubber tree). Lineage: Eukaryota; Viridiplantae; Streptophyta; Magnoliopsida; Malpighiales; Euphorbiaceae. The record is from RNAcentral.